This 505-nucleotide ribosomal RNA is filed under the name uncultured bacterium. RNAcentral's name for it is "partial 16S ribosomal RNA". It matches the Rfam family "Bacterial small subunit ribosomal RNA", at positions 29 to 522 of the family's 1533-position model. The record is from RNAcentral.
AGUGAACGCUGGCGGUAGGCCUAACACAUGCAAGUCGAACGGCAGCACAGGAGAGCUUGCUCUCUGGGUGGCGAGUGGCGGACGGGUGAGGAAUACAUCGGAAUCUACUCCGUCGUGGGGGAUAACGUAGGGAAACUUACGCUAAUACCGCAUACGACCUACGGGUGAAAGCAGGGGACCUUCGGGCCUUGCGCGAUUGAAUGAGCCGAUGUCGGAUUAGCUAGUUGGCGGGGUAAGGGCCCACCAAGGCGACGAUCCGUAGCUGGUCUGAGAGGAUGAUCAGCCACACUGGAACUGAGACACGGUCCAGACUCCUACGGGAGGCAGCAGUGGGGAGUAUUGGACAAUGGGCGCAAGCCUGAUCCAGCCAUACCGCGUGGGUGAAGAAGGCCUUCGGGUUGUAAAGCCCUUUUGUUGGGAAAGAAAUCCAGCUGGCUAAUACCCGGUUGGGAUGACGGUACCCAAAGAAUAAGCACCGGCUAACUUCGUGCCAGCAGCCGCAUAA